This 244-nucleotide unclassified non-coding RNA is filed under the name plant metagenome. RNAcentral's name for it is "partial contains small subunit ribosomal RNA, internal transcribed spacer 1, and 5.8S ribosomal RNA". The record is from RNAcentral.
UCUCCGUUGGUGAACCAGCGGAGGGAUCAUUACCAGAGUUUUACAACUCCCAACCCUUCUGUGAACCUACCUAUCGUUGCUUCGGCGGACUCGCCCCAGCGUCCGGACGGCCCCGCGCCGGCCCGCGACCUGGACCCAGGCGGCCGCCGGAGACCACAAAAUCCUGUAUCCAUCAGGCUCUCUGAAUCCGCCGAAAGGCAAAACAAACGAAUCAAAACUUUCAACAAUGGAUCUCUUGGUUCUG